UACGUAGGGGGCAAGCGUUGUCCGGAUUUAUUGGGCGUAAAGAGCGUGUAGGCGGCCUGGUAGGUCAGCUGUGAAAACUCGAGGCUCAACCUCGAGACGCCGGUGGAAACCAUCAGACUAGAGUCCGGAAGAGGAGAGUGGAAUCCGUGGUGUAGCGGUGAAAUGCGCAGAUAUCAGGAAGAACACCCGUGGCUAAGGCGGCUCUCUAGUACGGUACUGACGCUGAGACGCGAAAGCGUGGGGAGC
Molecule: ribosomal RNA, 246 nt
Filed under: uncultured bacterium
Lineage: Bacteria
Description: partial 16S ribosomal RNA
Rfam family: Bacterial small subunit ribosomal RNA
Source: RNAcentral